AUUGAACGCUGGCGGCAGGCCUAACACAUGCAAGUCGAGCGGAUGAGUGGAGCUUGCUCCAUGAUUCAGCGGCGGACGGGUGAGUAAUGCCUAGGAAUCUGCCUGGUAGUGGGGGGACAACGUUUCGAAAGGAACGCUAAUACCGCAUACGUCCUACGGGAGAAAGCAGGGGACCUUCGGGCCUUGCGCUAUCAGAUGAGCCUAGGUCGGAUUAGCUAGUAGGUGAGGUAAUGGCUCACCUAGGCGACGAUCCGUAACUGGUCUGAGAGGAUGAUCAGUCACACUGGAACUGAGACACGGUCCAGACUCCUACGGGAGGCAGCAGUGGGGAAUAUUGGACAAUGGGCGAAAGCCUGAUCCAGCCAUGCCGCGUGUGUGAAGAAGGUCUUUCGGAUUGUAAAGCAACUUUAAGUUUGGGAGGAAGGGUAGGUAACCUUAAUACGUUGCUACUUUGACGUUACCGACAGAAUAAGCACCGGCU
Molecule: ribosomal RNA, 481 nt
Filed under: uncultured bacterium
Lineage: Bacteria
Description: bacterial SSU rRNA
Rfam family: Bacterial small subunit ribosomal RNA
Source: RNAcentral